GCAAUAAUUUCGGAAAUUACAGUAUGUUCCUGUUGUGUAAAUGACUUCCAAAUGUUUGAACUGUCAAGUAUCAUUGUAAACAAUUUAAUGUAUCAUUGUAAACAAUUUAAUGUCAAUUGUGAAGCCACAUGCAUAUGUUUAAAAGCAGAAAAAAUGUAGUUUAAGUUUGAAUUAUUUUGCUUGCAAUAAAUUUUGUUAAAUUGCUGGAAACAUCCUGGCUCUUUAAGUUAUAUAAAGAGCGGAGGAUCCUGCAUUAUCCAUAAUUUUUAGAAAUCCCUUUUUAUUAUUCAUAUUAAGUGUGUAUUCUACAAAGUAAUUAGAAGUUAUGACCUAUCCUUAAACAUAAAGAUAACUAUAUAUAGCUAGUAUCACAGGAAUAAAGAGCUUAAAUAUCACAUAUUGCAAUGUUUACAGGGGUAUAAAAGGAACACUCCUUAGGGCUAUUCCAUUAAAAUGGAUGUGAGAGGGUUUGAACUGACAUACAAAACCCCUCUACUACUUAAAUACUUUUAUAGUAAUUUUGUAUACAUCAACAGACAAUCUAUCAUAAAUGACACAUUACUUCAGUCCGUUGAUAAAACUUCCCUUCCUACCCUCCCAAGUUUACUUUAAUGGAAUAGUCCUUGAUAAGAGUCUGUAGUUCAUAAACUUAUAUUGUCUAGUCUAUUUUUAUAAAUGAAUUCCAAUUGUCUGCAUGUGAGGGGUCUUUUAUACUGUAAAUUGUUAAGAAUAAAAGUCAUUUGUUGAUAUACAUGAGAGGGGCCUUUUAUGCUGUGAAUUGAUUUUAAUUGUUAAGCAUGAACUCAUUUUGCUGAUAUACAUGAGAGGGGCCUUUCAUGCUGUGAAUUGAUUUGGAUUGAUCAGAAUAAAAGUCAUUUGUUGAUAUACAUGAGAGGGGCCUUUUAUUCUGUGAAUUGAUUUGGAUUGUUAAGAAUAAAAGUCAUUUGUUGAUCUGCCCAAAUGGAGUCAUUUUAUUGUACUUAUGUUUGUUUAUUUACUUUUUGUUUGUUGGACCCUCUUGUUGUUUUGAGAAUACAGACAAUUGAUUUGAUUAUUUUUCUCUCUAAAAUGGUUUUUAAAUUUCUCAGAGGGAGGGAUAACUUUAAUUUGACAGGUUUAAAUUCUUGCAAAACAAAGCCACUAGAAAAGAGAUAGCUUAAUGUGUUACAGUAUAUAUUUAUUACCAAAUAAUGUUUGUAAAUUAUAUUAUAAAAAUGACUAGUUUCAUUCUUAUCACUAAGAGAUGUACCUGAGUAUGAGCUGUACUAUUAACACCUUGACAUUCUCUUUUGCCAUUGAUAGUUAUUUUAUAAUUGAUACAAUUUUUUUUUAACUUAACUUGUUUUUCUGGUUGUACAAAUUGUUAAAGAGAGGUAAUCAUGUU
This 1384-nucleotide long non-coding RNA is filed under the name Mytilus galloprovincialis (Mediterranean mussel). Lineage: Eukaryota; Metazoa; Mollusca; Bivalvia; Mytilida; Mytilidae. The record is from RNAcentral.